CGGAGCGGGCGAGACGGUCGCCUCUCCUUCCCGAGAGGGGGAGAGGAGGAAAGUCCGGACUCCGAAGGGCAGGAUGGUCGCUAACAGCGACUCCGGGCGACCGGGGGAAAGUGCCACAGAAAACAUACCGCCCCUCGGGAGGGGAGACCUUCCGGGGAGCAAGGGUGAAAUGGCGAGGUAAGAGCUCACCGCCCCGGCGGCGACGCCGGGGGCAGGGCAAACCCCAUCCGGAGCAAGGCCAAACGAGCCCCACUUUGGGAUGGCCCGUCCCAGGGGGCGGGUCGGCCGCUGGAUCCCGGGAGCAAUCCCGGGACUAGACAAAUGACCGUCGCCCGCGCGAGCGGGGACAGGAUCCGGCUUACGACCCGCUCCGGCCG
Molecule: RNase P RNA, 377 nt
Filed under: Candidatus Moduliflexus flocculans
Lineage: Bacteria; Candidatus Moduliflexota; Candidatus Moduliflexia; Candidatus Moduliflexales; Candidatus Moduliflexaceae
Description: RNase P RNA component class A
Rfam family: Bacterial RNase P class A
About the family: Ribonuclease P (RNase P) is a ubiquitous endoribonuclease, found in archaea, bacteria and eukarya as well as chloroplasts and mitochondria. Its best characterised activity is the generation of mature 5'-ends of tRNAs by cleaving the 5'-leader elements of precursor-tRNAs.
Source: RNAcentral